CUCUGUACUCCACACAUACAAUUAUAUGUAACUUCCCUCAGUCGACUAGUGAAUUUCAAACACAGAUUCAACCACAAAGACCAGGGAGGUUUUCCAAUGCCUCACAAAGAAGGGCACCUAUUGGUAGAUGGGUAAAAAAAGCAGACAUUGAAUAUCCCGUUGAGCAUGGUGAAGUUAUUAAUUACACUUUGGCUGGUGUAUCAAUACACCCAGUCACUACAAAGAUAUAUGCAUCCUUCCUAACUCAGUUGCCGGAGAGGAAAGAAACUGCUCAGGAAUUUCACCAUGAGACCAAUGGUGACUUUAAAACAGUUAAAGAGUUUAAUGGCUGUGAUAGGAGAAAACUGAGGAUGGAUCAACAUUGUAGUUACUCAGAGUGAAAAGAAGUAGGCCUGUACAGAAUAAAAAUAUUCCAAAACAUGCAUCCUGUUUGCAACAAGGCACUAAAGUAAUACUGUGGCAAUGCAAUUAACUUUUUGUCUUGAAUACAAAGUGUUAUGUUUGGGUCAAAUCCAACACAACACAUUACUGUGUACCACUCUCCAUUUGUUUAAGCCUAGUGGUGGCUGCAUUAUGUUAUGGGUAUGCUUGAAGUUAUUAAGGACUGGGGAGUUUUUCAGGAUAAAAAAUGUAUGGAAUGGCGCUAGGCACAGGCAAAAUCCGAGAGGAAAACCUGGUUCAGUCCGCUUUCCACCAGACACUGGGAGAUGAAUCCACCCUUCAGCAGGACAAUAACCUAAACACAAGGACAAAUCUAAACUGGCAUUGCUUACCAAGAAGAGUGACAUUUCCUGAGUGGCAGUAGUAUAUGUUUGUCUGGCAGUGAUCAACAACCAACUUGAAGAAUUUUGAAAAUAAUAAUGGGUAAAUGUUGCGCAAUCCAGGUGUGGAAAGCUUAGGGACUUACCCAGAAAGACUCACAGCUCUAAUCGCUGUGAAAGGUGCUUCUACAAAGUAUUGACUCAAGGGUGGGAGGUGCUUCUACAAAGUAUUGACUCAAGGGUGGGAGGUGCUUCUACAAAGUAUUGACUCAAGGGUGGGAGGUGCUUCUACAAAGUAUUGACUCAAGGGUGGGAGGUGCUUCUACAAAGUAUUGACUCAAGGGUGGGAGGUGCUUCUACAAAGUAUUGACUCAAGGGUGGGAGGUGCUUCUACAAAGUAUUGACUCAAGGGUGGGAAUACUUAUGUAAAUUAGAUAUUUCUGUAUUUCAUUUUUCAAAAGUUUUCUACAAUCUAUUUUAUCCAUUUUGAAUUCAGGCUGUAACACAAGAAAAUGUGGAAUAAGUCAAGGGGUAUUUUAUAUUUUAUUUACAACGACAGCCUACCCCGGCCAAACCCUAACGUCGCUGGGCCAAUUGUGCACCACCCUAUGGGACUCCCAAUCACGGCAAGUUGUGGAAUCGAACCAGUGUCUGUAGUGACGCCUCUAGCACUGAGAUGCAGUGCCUUAAACCACUGUGCCACAUGGGAGUACUUUCUUAAGGCACUCUAUAAAUGAGUUUAACUACUUUGCUGGUUAGUUAUCUUUUCAAAAGAACUAACUUAGCUUGCUUGCUAGCUAGCUGUAGAUUGGCUGGCCAUUUAGCUAAUGUUUUUUUUUUUAUCUAGCUACAUAAUGCAGCAAGUACAGCUACUACCUUAACUAACUGCUUAGCUAGUUAUUUUCUCUGGAACAAUGAGCUAAAAUAGCACGCUAUAUCUUAGCUAGCUAGCUGCAUCUUUGCUGGCUGUUUAGCUAGUUGGCUAAUGUUUUGAAUCAUCUAACUAGCAAAUGUUACAUGUUAUAGCAAGUACAACUACUAUUUUUACUAACUGCUUACCUAGCUAUUUUCUCUGGGGCAAUGAGCUAAUAUAGCAAGCUGUAUCUUAGCUGGCUGAUAGAUAUAUAAAUAUAUGUUCAUCUUAUUAACACAACUGCAGGUUGGUGUAUAAUUAAAAGGUUCCUUGUAUGCUUGUCAAUGUAAAUAGGAGCCUCUCGGGCUGGUGUAUAAUAAAAGGAAAUAAGUUCCAUAAGUUCCAUAAAUGAACUUUUAAGAAGGCAAACCUGUUCAUUGAAAUGCAUUCCAGGUGACUACCUCAUGAAGCUGGUUGAGAGAAUGCCAAGAGUGUGCAAAGCUGUCAUCAAGGCAAAGGGUGGCUACUUUGAAGAAUCUCAAAUAUAAAAUAUAUUUUGAUUAGUUUUAAACCUUUUUUGGUUACUACAUGAUUUCAUAUGUGUUAUUUCAGUAUUAUUCUACAAUGUAUAUAAAAUAAAAUAGGACAAAUCCUUGAAUGAGUAGGUGUGUACAAACUUUUGACUGGUACUGUAUAUCUUUAAAACUAGUAAUGUGAUUUACCUACUUGUCCAACAUUUAUGUUUACCUUUUUGUUACCCUAGGCAUACAGAACCCUGCCAGCACCCACCUCAACCCCUCAGAAACCAGUUAGCCAGCCCCCACCACAACCCCUCAGAAACCAGUUAGCCAGCC
Long non-coding RNA from Oncorhynchus tshawytscha (Chinook salmon), 2468 nucleotides. NCBI's taxonomy places the organism in Eukaryota, Metazoa, Chordata, Actinopteri, Salmoniformes, Salmonidae. The record is from Ensembl.